Non-coding RNA from Lolium perenne, 2051 nucleotides. Lineage: Eukaryota; Viridiplantae; Streptophyta; Magnoliopsida; Poales; Poaceae. The record is from RefSeq and is a predicted model, not a curated record.
CCCCGCAUUCCCGUUUCGCCCGAUCCAAAUUAAAUUAGGACGCGAUCCCCGGCUGUUUUCCUAAGAAGAGCACAUACCAACCUGCAGUCUCUCGCCAUACCCUCGAGCGCCUCCCCUGACCGCCCCGCCGCCGCUUCGCCCAGCCUCCAGUCACGCUCCUCGCCCCCUUAUCGAGUUAUUGCCCAAGAUGCAUCCGACCUCUGCAGCGCCUCGAGUUGGCUUUGAUGGGAGCUCGGCGUGUGUAGCGUCAUCGUGGAGAAUCCCAGGAGCCCCAUCUUAGAUAUCCUCAACAUCUAAGCGGGGCAGUGGUGCUUAUCCACCUGUCAGCCACAAACUCCGGUAUCCAAGCCAACCCGAUGCGGGAUGAUGAGGCUUGGAUGCGAAAUAUGUCCGGCAUGAGGAAUUCUAGCUCGUGUUGACUCCAAGGUUCAUCUCCGGAAUUCAAGUCUUUGGGCAAACCUCCCUGUGAACUCUUACAUUUUCUUUACAUAGCUGUUCACUGGAAUGACUAGGCAUCAUGGAAAGAGCUACAAGUGGAUCAAGGAGUCGCUGAUAUUAGUUUUAUUCUUGGGAAGAUCAGAUUCAGCAAUGAUUGGUUUGGAAGUUACCAAUUCCAGGUUCUUGGUUUCGUAGCUACAGCGAGAUAGAUUCUUGUUAUACAGGUUUUGUUUUUUUGUUUUCGGGUUGUUCUUUUCUACCACAAGUCUACCGUUGCAUCCUGAAUUAUUUCCGCACUAAUUUCUUAACGAAUUUUCAUUGUUCUGGCUCUGAACUCAUUUUGUUGUGCUAUUUUAUUUUUUUAUGGGGUCAAGGAGAACACUCUAUGACUGGUUUGCUGAACUUGAAUCACUUGGUUGUGCAAUCAUGAUGCUGGUUAGAAAAUUUCUUCAUUACUUUUUUAUAAUUUUGCAUCGUUCAGGUUCUAAUUUCAUUUACUGCGUCAUUAAGAUAUUUAUACAAAAUAAAUAAUACUUAACGCUGCCAUCCUAGAGCUUUAGUUUUCUAACUUCAUGUUCUUAGGCGAGACAUAAUUGUCAUCUUAUUCCAGUCCUGUAUAUGCCUUAUCCUUAGAGAAAAUAAUUUUGAAUUGUUUUGCUUACCAUAUCUCUCUCACACAUUUAUGUCUUAUACUUUCAUGGAUUUUUGGCAUUCUCAAUAUACAAGUAUAGCUGUCGAAUCCCUCGCUCAGAAGUGUAAUAAGGUCCCCUUCAAGUAUCAUAUCAUGCGCUGAUGAAUUUUUUUAUUUUGCAUUUAUACACUAAUAUUAUUAAGUUCGUUCUUUUUCUUUUUUUGGUCAAAAGGUAUUCUAAUUUAUGAACAGUGGAUCUUCUGGUGCUCUUGAUGUUAAUGUUGCCCUGAUGGAAAUGUAACAUCCUGAGUUAUGAAAGUUAUGUACUCCUCCCAACUGCAACAACUAAAAAAUUUUCUUCAGCAUUGGAACAAACUGCAUGUCGAAAAGCAUCCACACGGUUCAAGGUAUAAAAGGAACUAAAGGAGAUGGUAUGCACAAUUAGAAUGCAUCUGUUGUUAUGUUUAUAAUAGAGUUUCCACAAGAUUUCUGGGCAUGGCAUCAGCAGCCUUAUAUGAACUUGUCUUCAAAAGUUCUUCCGCAGUCUGCUCAGCGAGUGGAAGUAGGAGUUGGAUGCUAUGGUAGAGCUGGAUGCUAUGGUAAAGUUCUUAAAAAAUCGAUGGUGCCCACAUUCUCUCUUUCUCUGGCAACACAAAACCUUGACGGGGGUGGUGCAUGGCCUGACUGACGAAGAGAUGAAGCAAUUCUACGUGGAGUGGAUUGGAGUGGAUUCGAUGGUAGUGAUAACCACUUUUAUUUUGAAUUUGAGCUAACUAUACUGAAAAAGGGAUUGCCUUUAUGUUUUGUUCAAUAUUGAUGUAUUUGAGCAAACUAUAACUAGAAUAAUGUGAGUCCACAUAACACUUGGCGUAGUUUCUUUGAAGGAUGCUUCUGGUGAUAUUGGUGAUACUGGUUCUAGGUAUGGUUAUAUCAUAUACAUUGGGUAAUCAAAAACAUAUUUCCAAGUGUUUUCUACAAUCAA